GCUGAAACAUCGUUUCCCGUAAGAUCUCCGAAGUUAAGCAACGUCGAGAAUGGUUAGUAUAUAGUUGGGUGACCGCUUGGGUAUACCAGGUGCUGGA
Non-coding RNA from Acanthosepion pharaonis, 97 nucleotides. NCBI's taxonomy places the organism in Eukaryota, Metazoa, Mollusca, Cephalopoda, Sepiida, Sepiidae. The record is from the annotation of a GenBank genome assembly.